AACGAACGUUGGCGGCGUGGAUUAGGCAUGCAAGUCGAGCGAAUCCCCAGCAAUGGGGGAAGCGGCGAAAGGGGCAGUAAGGCAUGGGUAACCUACCCUGGGGACUGGAAUAGCCCUUCGAGAGAAGGGGUAAUACCGGGCGACGAGCAGACAGGGCAUCCUGUUUUCUCCAAAUGAGUUUCGCCCUGGGAGGGGCCCAUGUGAUAUUAGCUAGUUGGUGAGGUAACGGCUCACCAAGGCGAAGAUGUCUAGCGGGUGUGAGAGCACGACCCGCGCCAUUGGCACUGAGAUACUGGCCAAACACCUACGGGUGGCUGCAGUCGAGGAUCUUCGGCAAUGAGCGCAAGCUUGACCGAGCGACGCCGCGUGUGCGAUGAAGGCCUUCGGUUGGUAAGCACUGUCGAGAGGGAGGAAAGGGAAACGUAGAUCUAUCUCUGGAGGAAGCACGGGCGUAAGUUCGGUGCCAGCAGCCGGCGGUAAGAGUCACGUGUA
This 492-nucleotide ribosomal RNA is filed under the name uncultured bacterium. RNAcentral's name for it is "bacterial SSU rRNA". It matches the Rfam family "Bacterial small subunit ribosomal RNA", at positions 29 to 536 of the family's 1533-position model. The record is from RNAcentral.